Molecule: ribosomal RNA, 600 nt
Filed under: Streptomyces pratensis
Lineage: Bacteria; Bacillati; Actinomycetota; Actinomycetes; Kitasatosporales; Streptomycetaceae
Also listed under: 1 other name
Description: bacterial SSU rRNA
Rfam family: Bacterial small subunit ribosomal RNA
Source: RNAcentral
GCCCUUCACUCUGGGACAAGCCCUGGAAACGGGGUCUAAUACCGGAUAACACUCUGUCCCGCAUGGGACGGGGUUAAAAGCUCCGGCGGUGAAGGAUGAGCCCGCGGCCUAUCAGCUUGUUGGUGGGGUAAUGGCCUACCAAGGCGACGACGGGUAGCCGGCCUGAGAGGGCGACCGGCCACACUGGGACUGAGACACGGCCCAGACUCCUACGGGAGGCAGCAGUGGGGAAUAUUGCACAAUGGGCGAAAGCCUGAUGCAGCGACGCCGCGUGAGGGAUGACGGCCUUCGGGUUGUAAACCUCUUUCAGCAGGGAAGAAGCGAAAGUGACGGUACCUGCAGAAGAAGCGCCGGCUAACUACGUGCCAGCAGCCGCGGUAAUACGUAGGGCGCAAGCGUUGUCCGGAAUUAUUGGGCGUAAAGAGCUCGUAGGCGGCUUGUCACGUCGGAUGUGAAAGCCCGGGGCUUAACCCCGGGUCUGCAUUCGAUACGGGCUAGCUAGAGUGUGGUAGGGGAGAUCGGAAUUCCUGGUGUAGCGGUGAAAUGCGCAGAUAUCAGGAGGAACACCGGUGGCGAAGGCGGAUCUCUGGGCCAUUACUG